RNAcentral lists this unclassified non-coding RNA (193 nucleotides) under uncultured Herpotrichiellaceae. RNAcentral describes it as "sequence contains ITS1". Lineage: Eukaryota; Fungi; Ascomycota; Eurotiomycetes; Chaetothyriales; Herpotrichiellaceae. The record is from RNAcentral.
ACGAGUUAGGGUCCUCUGGGCCCGACCUCCCAACCCUUUGUUUACCAAACCAUUGUUGCUUCGGCGGACCCGUCUUGAUUGACCGCCGGAGGAUCGCUGUGAGGCGUCCUCUGGCCAGUGUUCGCCGAUAGCCUAACCUCCUAAAAUCUGAAUCAAUCGUGUCUUAUGUCUCAGUCAAUGAUAAAUUAAAGCA